This 397-nucleotide ribosomal RNA is filed under the name uncultured cyanobacterium. RNAcentral describes it as "bacterial SSU rRNA". It matches the Rfam family "Bacterial small subunit ribosomal RNA", at positions 394 to 796 of the family's 1533-position model. Lineage: Bacteria; Bacillati; Cyanobacteriota. The record is from RNAcentral.
AAGCCGCGUGGGGGAGAGGCUCUUGGGUUGUAAACCCCUUUUCUCUGGGAAGAAAGUUGUGAAAGCAACCUGACGGUACCAGAGGAAUCAGCAUCGGCUAACUCCGUGCCAGCAGCCGCGGUAAGACGGAGGAUGCAAGCGUUAUCCGGAAUGAUUGGGCGUAAAGCGUCCGCAGGUGGCAGUUCAAGUCUGCUGUCAAAGACCGGGGCUUAACUUCGGAAAGGCAGUGGAAACUGAACAGCUAGAGUAUGGUAGGGGCAGAGGGAAUUCCUGGUGUAGCGGUGAAAUGCGUAGAGAUCAGGAAGAACAUCGGUGGCGAAGGCGCUCUGCUGGACCAUAACUGACACUCAGGGACGAAAGCUAGGGGAGCGAAUGGGAUUAGAUACCCCAGUAGUCA